CCCCUUGAUGAUGAAGAGAUGAUCCAGUACAUCAUAACUGGAUUGGGAGAAGGCUACAGUGAGGUUGUUUCAGCCGUGUGCGCACGGGUUGAACCAAUCUCGGUGGGAGAACUAUACUCGCAAGUCCUGAAUUUUGAAG
This 139-nucleotide small nucleolar RNA is filed under the name Oryza sativa Indica Group (long-grained rice). RNAcentral's name for it is "Small nucleolar RNA Z247". It matches the Rfam family "Small nucleolar RNA Z247". Rfam says of the family: Z247 is a member of the C/D class of snoRNA which contain the C (UGAUGA) and D (CUGA) box motifs. Most of the members of the box C/D family function in directing site-specific 2'-O-methylation of substrate RNAs. Lineage: Eukaryota; Viridiplantae; Streptophyta; Magnoliopsida; Poales; Poaceae. The record is from Rfam by way of RNAcentral.